This 159-nucleotide non-coding RNA is filed under the name Sneathiella sp. RNAcentral describes it as "6S RNA". It matches the Rfam family "6S / SsrS RNA". Rfam says of the family: E. coli 6S RNA was the first non coding RNA to be sequenced, but its function was unknown until recently. The record is from RNAcentral. Lineage: Bacteria; Pseudomonadati; Pseudomonadota; Alphaproteobacteria; Sneathiellales; Sneathiellaceae.
GCUGCACUGGCUUGUGCGUUAGACGAAUGACAUCCUGGGGCCAAUAACGAAAUCCUGGGAGCUGAUCCCUGACUGGACCGUGGUCCUAUCAUACCGGCGCCCACCUGACUUGUCAGGCCACAGAGAUUUCCACGCGUCGACGGCUAUGUUGGUGCAGCA